CACUGACACACUCACAGGCACACCCAUUCUCACUGGAAAAGCACACACUUUCACUCACUCACAGACACACACUGACAGCUACACUCACUCACUCACUCUCUGUAAGGUGGACAGCCCCAGAACAUGAUGCAAACAAGGCAUUUGUCUGGGAGCGUGGGGUGGCAUUUUUGGCACCCCCCCUGAAAGUGCUGCCCUAGGCAAAUGCCUUGUUUGCCUUGUGGUAAAUACAUCCCUGGUUGUUGUGGUGACUACCGUGCCCCUUUAAAUGGACCUUCCCAUGGUGCAAGCCACAAUCCAUCUUUCUUCUGGCAUCCCUCUUUACUUCCUGGAGCUUUAUCUGCCAGGUGC
Non-coding RNA from Pelobates cultripes (western spadefoot toad), 348 nucleotides. Lineage: Eukaryota; Metazoa; Chordata; Amphibia; Anura; Pelobatidae. The record is from the annotation of a GenBank genome assembly.